This 73-nucleotide microRNA precursor is filed under the name Myotis brandtii (Brandt's bat). Its description in RNAcentral is "mir-9193 microRNA precursor family". It matches the Rfam family "mir-9193 microRNA precursor family". The record is from Rfam by way of RNAcentral. Lineage: Eukaryota; Metazoa; Chordata; Mammalia; Chiroptera; Vespertilionidae.
GGCGGGUGGGAGGGUCCCUCAGCCCAGAUUGCAAGAGGACGCAGGCCAGGCUGAGGAAUCCCACCGGUGCACA